This 248-nucleotide unclassified non-coding RNA is filed under the name uncultured Lophiostomataceae. Its description in RNAcentral is "sequence contains ITS2". The record is from RNAcentral. Lineage: Eukaryota; Fungi; Ascomycota; Dothideomycetes; Pleosporales; Lophiostomataceae.
AACGCACAUUGCGCCCUUUGGUAUUCCUUAGGGCAUGCCUGUUCGAGCGUCAUUUACAAAUUCAAGCUCAGCUUGGUGAUGGGUGUCUGUCCCGCCUUUGCGCGUGGACUCGCCUCGAAUGCAGUUGGCAGCUUGUUCCUCGGCUCUAAACGCAGCAGAUUUGCGUCAAGCGUUGAGCGGACGGGCUCUCCAGUAAGCAAACCCCACAAAUUGACCUCGGAUCAGGUAGGGAUACCCGCUGAACUUAA